GUACAUCCAGAGAACUUAGCAGAGAUGCUUUGGUGCCUUCGGGAACUCUGAGACAGGUGCUGCAUGGCUGUCGUCAGCUCGUGUUGUGAAAUGUUGGGUUAAGUCCCGCAACGAGCGCAACCCUUAUCCUUUGUUGCCAGCGGUUCGGCCGGGAACUCAAAGGAGACUGCCGGUGAUAAACCGGAGGAAGGUGGGGAUGACGUCAAGUCAUCAUGGCCCUUACGGCCAGGGCUACACACGUGCUACAAUGGCGCAUACAAAGAGAAGCGACCUCGCGAGAGCAAGCGGACCUCAUAAAGUGCGUCGUAGUCCGGAUUGGAGUCUGCAACUCGACUCCAUGAAGUCGGAAUCGCUAGUAAUCGUAGAUCAGAAUGCUACGGUGAAUACGUUCCCGGGCCUUGUACACACCGCCCGUCACACCAUGGGAGUGGGUUGCAAAAGAAGUAGGUAGCUUAACCUUCGGGAGGGCGCUUACCACUUUGUGAUUCAUGACUGGGGUGAAGUCGUAACAAGGUAGGCGUAGCGAG
This 527-nucleotide ribosomal RNA is filed under the name uncultured bacterium. RNAcentral's name for it is "bacterial SSU rRNA". It matches the Rfam family "Bacterial small subunit ribosomal RNA", at positions 982 to 1509 of the family's 1533-position model. The record is from RNAcentral.